CUCUAUUACCCAUAUCCGAAACUGGUACAAAAUAUGUGUCUCGGCCUUUUUACGGAACAAUAUAUGUAUGAGCUUGCGCAUUGAUAGUGUCAAAGUAUGUAGCGAUGAUGAUUGGACAAAGUAAAGCCUCUAAGUGAACUUGGAAAAAUUACAAAACAAUGGGUGAACAACCAUUGAGGUGACAAUUAAUCGAAACACGGGGUACUUUAGAUAGGAGCUGCGUUAAAUAAAUGAUAUGAUGUGAUUAAACCAUGAUUCAACAGAUCUCAUAUCAACAGAACCAACAUGUCUAUGUGCCAUUUCAUCUUUGUAUAGUCCUAUUGUCAAGUAAGUAAUUAAGUCUAAGGAAACAUAUCUCCAAUGAAAGAAAUAUAGGAAAAUAUAUCUCCAAGGAAACUAUCAACCACAACCCCUAUGAGGAAAAUACAUGAAGGUAUAAUGAUAAGAUAUUCAUCUUAAACUCGUUGUAUGCAUUAAUUCAACAUGGAUGGCUAAGCAACACGAUGAACCACCUAGUAUUUUCGGGACGACGUUCAGAAACAAAGAACAAGAUCUCGAAGAGAUUUUAGUACUUCUUCCACCCAUCAAAGUACAUCGCAAUUACAAUUGUAGCUCGUCCACAUCAUUGGAAGGAUCAAAUCACCCAGGUUGCAAAACACACACCAAGGAUCAAAAACAUUAUCCUGCAGGUCUAAACAAUCUACAAGAAAACAUUUUUUAUGAUCUUGUACAAAUCCAAUUAGAGUUUAGAAUUUUAGAAGUUAUUGUUUCUUGCUAGCUUGCGUAUAUACCACUUUGUUUGCUAUGUGCAUGAGUGAAGUUUCUAGGAACAUGUUGUCCGAUUCAGAUCAUUUUACAUGGUGUAUGCUAAUUAAUGAUAAAAAUGUGCAAUGCACGUGAGACGAUUAGCAUCUUUCAUACUCUAAUUUCUGCUAUAACUCUUAGAUCCAACUUGUCAUUGAACUGAUUUUGUUUACAACAUGGGUUCAACAUAUGAGAACGAGUGAAGAAUCUGUAUUAUUAUAUGUAUUAAAUAUUUGCGUCUCAUAAAUCUAAAUAUGUAUGUGCACUUGGAAACAAUCAGCAGAACUUGGAAAAAGUAUCAAUUUCCAGAUUAACUUCUGCUCGGAGGUAAAUGUAGCAGAGUAGUAAAAUAAUUUCAGAGCAACUAAAGGUAUCCAAUAUAAAGAAGGAUUGUUACUGAAACUUAACCCUUGUUAAUUAGCAAAGGAUGGUACAUGUAGGUUUAGUUUCGAGAUUAACUUCUAUUUGAGGUAAAUGCGGUAGAGUAUGGCGUAAAAGAACUUCAGAGCUACUGAUGAUCUCCAAGUAAAAGAAGGAUGGUUGCUGAAAUUUUACCCUUGUUCAUUAGCAAUAGACAGUAUGAGAACAUAACAAUGCAUGCUAUAAUUUGGCUGCAAUAGUUAAGGAGAAAAUUAAGUGUUCUAUAGAGUAAGGACAAAUCAUUAGUAUUCUAGACAGAAGAAACAAGUCUUUAUUCUUUUGUACUAGAAGGGAACUCGAGUCGAGAAGCUGCCACAUUUACUUGGAGAUUUAGCAAACAUAUCACCCGAAUAUAACCACAUAUGUGUUUAGUUUCUGCGCUGAACGGUUUAGCAAACAAAAAGAAAGAGGAAGGAGGUGCUUAAGAACGAUAGGAAUGAGAGGCAUUGGGAAAUACCAAGCAGGAUUUAUAACUCAACACAAGAGGUGAAGAACCGAUUAGUUUUUCCUCUAUGUUCUCAUUCCCAUUGCUCUUAGGCCCUCUCUUUCUUCCUCUUCCUAGCACGCGUUUGAGAUUUCACAUCGAACAUAUGCACACAUAUAUUUGGUUUAUAACCUAAAUCAACCAAGCAAGCCCAAAAAUGAAGAGGAAGGAGUGCUUUAGAACAAUAGGAAUGGGAGGCAUCGGAAAACACCAAACAAAAUUAUCACUUCCAACACUAGAAGCAAAAAACCAAGGAAGUUAGGUUUUCCUCCAUGUUCCCGUUCCCACUACUCUAAGGCCCUCUAUUCUUCCUCUUAUGGGCUCUCUUUUGAGGUGUCAUUUAUCAAAAUAAAUAGACAUAUGUCUAUGGUUUCUCCAUCAGAGCUAUUGCGUAAGCCAAAAGGAAGAGGAAGGAGUGCACAAGAAUAGUAGGAAUGGGAGGCAUCAGGAAAGGAUUCAUGCCGAAUAUUUGCACCUCCAAAAGUAGUGGUGCAAACAAACAAGGAGGUCUUUCCUCCAUGUUCCCAUUCCUAUUGCUCUUGAACUCUCUCUUUCUUCCUCUUCCCGGCUUGCUCUAAGUGCCUACACAUCUAACAAUACAAAAACUCUUGAAGAACAAGCUUGAAUUACUGGACACAUUGUUUCAACUUUGUGGUAUAAAUAAUGCGCGGUGCACCAUAUGCAGAACCUUUCGGAAGUGAGCAAUGAUGACACCCAGUGCAUGGAGGCACCAUUCUACAAUCAAUGAUAAUGGCACCACAUAAUCACCAACCAUGUCCUAUUGUACUAUACCCUUAAGUAAAUGCACAUGGCUAAAUAUCUCUUUUGCUUACCUCUAUUACCCAUAUCCGAAACUGGUAUAAAAUAUGUGUGUCGGCCUUUUUACGGAACAAUAUAUGUAUGAGCUUGCGCAUUGAUAGUGUCAAAGUAUGUAGCAAUGAUGAUUGGACAAAGUAAAGCCUCUAAGUGAACUUGGAAAAAUUACAACACAAUGGGUGCACAACCACUGAGGUGACAAUUAAUCGGAACACGGGGUACUUUAGAUAGGAGCUGCGUUAUAUAGAUGAUAUGAUGUGAUUAAACCAUGAUUCAAGAGAUCUCAUAUAAGCAAAACCAACAUGUCUAUGUGCCAUUUCAUCUCUGUAUAUUCGUAUUGUCGAGUAAGUAAUUAAGUCUAACGAAACAUAUGUCCAAUGAUAGAAAUAUAGGAAAACAUAUAUCCAAGGAAACUAUCAACCACAACCCCUAUGAGGAAAAUACAUGAAGGUGUAAUGAUAAGAUAUUCAUCUUAAACUCGUUGUACACAUUAAUUCAACAUGGAUGGCCUAAGCAACACGAUGAACCACCUAGUAUUUCCGGGACGAUGUUCAGAAACAAAGAACAAGAUCUCGAAGAGAUUUUAGUACUUCUUCCACCCAUCAAAGUACAGCGCAAUUACAAUUGUAGCUCGUCCACAUCAUUGGAAGGAUCAAAUCACCCAGGUUGCAAUGCAAACACACACCAAGGAUCAAAAACCUUAUCCUGCAGGUCUAAACAAUCUACAAGAAAACAUUUUUUAUGAUCUUGUACAAAUUCAAUUAGAGUUUACAAUUUUAGAAGUUGUUGUUUCUUGCCAGCUUGCGUAUAUACCAGUUUGUUUGCUAUGUGAAUGAGUGAAGUUUCUAGGAACAGUUUGUCCGAUUCAGAUCAUUUUACAGGGUGAAUGCUAAUUGAUGCUAAAAAUGUGCAAUGCAUGUACUGCUACAUGAUUUGUGAGACGAUUAGCAUCUUUCAUACUCUAAUUUCUGCUAUAACUCUUAGCUCCAACUUGU
This 3519-nucleotide long non-coding RNA is filed under the name Hordeum vulgare. Its description in RNAcentral is "long non-coding RNA (HVUL_LNC000198)". The record is from RNAcentral. Lineage: Eukaryota; Viridiplantae; Streptophyta; Magnoliopsida; Poales; Poaceae.